UCUGGAUAAAGUGACUGAUUUAUAUUGCAAUAUGUCAAACGCAUCCCUCCGGGCCAUCAUGCGGACUUUCGUUAUGAACCGGAGAUUUUAUAUCGCUGAAUAUAUUAACCAACAAUCCAGUUCGCAGAGUGCUCAGGACGCAAAUGGCGGCAAAGCGACGGCUCCUGCAGCCGAAAUGGAAAGAAGUUUGGCGCCUGGUUUGACCGAGACAAACGAGAGCAGUCCGGAUUCUGAAGAAUCAGUAAUUUCGCUGUCUAGAUCGGAGGAGACAAACGAGAGCAGUCCGGAUUCUGAAGAAUCAGUGAUUCCGCCGCCAUCUUCCUCUAUAACCGGAAUUGAAAAUUGUACGAGGAAUCAAAGGUUUCGUGAAAUCAAUCACGGAAAACAGUAACUAAAAUACUUACCAAGGAAACAGUUUACCAAGGAAACACAAAUACGAAAUCGAGACAAUGAUCAAAAACGACAAGCUGAAUGUGAUAUGUUCGAGGUUUCCCGAAUAUUUCCGGAGCCCAAACUCAACGAUUCCUGUGGAGAAUCUGGAUAAAGUGACUGAUUUAUAUUGCAAUAUGUCAAACGCAUCCCUCCGGGCCAUCAUGCGGACUUUCGUUAUGAACCGGAGAUUUUAUAUCGCUGAAUAUAUUAACCAACAAUCCAGUUCGCAGAGUGCUCAGGACGCAAAUGGCGGCAAAGCGACGGCUCCUGCAGCCGAAAUGGAAAGAAGUUUGGCGCCUGGUUUGACCGAGACAAACGAGAGCAGUCCGGAUUCUGAAGAAUCAGUAAUUUCGCUGUCUAGAUCGGAGGAGACAAACGAGAGCAGUCCGGAUUCUGAAGAAUCAGUGAUUCCGCCGCCAUCUUCCUCUAUAACCGGAAUUGAAAAUUGUACGAGGAAUCAAAGGUUUCGUGAAAUCAAUCACGGAAAACAGUAACUAAAAUACUUACCAAGGAAACAGUUUACCAAGGAAACACAAAUACGAAAUCGAGACAAUGAUCAAAAACGACAAGCUGAAUGUGAUAUGUUCGAGGUUUCCCGAAUAUUUCCGGAGCCCAAACUCAACGAUUCCUGUGGAGAAUCUGGAUAAAGUGACUGAUUUAUAUUGCAAUAUGUCAAACGCAUCCCUCCGGGCCAUCAUGCGGACUUUCGUUAUGAACCGGAGAUUUUAUAUCGCUGAAUAUAUUAACCAACAAUCCAGUUCGCAGAGUGCUCAGGACGCAAAUGGCGGCAAAGCGACGGCUCCUGCAGCCGAAAUGGAAAGAAGUUUGGCGCCUGGUUUGACCGAGACAAACGAGAGCAGUCCGGAUUCUGAAGAAUCAGUGAUUCCGCCGCCAUCUUCCUCUAUAACCGGAAUUGAAAAUUGUACGAGGAAUCAAAGGUUUCGUGAAAUCAAUCACGGAAAACAGUAACUAAAAUACUUACCAAGGAAACAGUUUACCAAGGAAACACAAAUACGAAAUCGAGACAAUGAUCAAAAACGACAAGCUGAAUGUGAUAUGUUCGAGGUUUCCCGAAUA
Venturia canescens is the source of this 1509-nucleotide RNA transcript. RefSeq lists it as uncharacterized. The record is from RefSeq and is a predicted model, not a curated record. The transcript is spliced from 7 exons. Lineage: Eukaryota; Metazoa; Arthropoda; Insecta; Hymenoptera; Ichneumonidae.